UGGGGAAUAUUGCACAAUGGGCGCAAGCCUGAUGUAGCCAUGCCGCGUGUGUGAAGAAGGCCUUCGGGUUGUAAAGCACUUUCAGCGGGGAGGAAGGCGUUAAGGUUAAUAACCUUGGCGAUUGACGUUACCCGCAGAAGAAGCACCGGCUAACUCCGUGCCAGCAGCCGCGGUAAUACGGAGGGUGCAAGCGUUAAUCGGAAUUACUGGGCGUAAAGCGCACGCAGGCGGUCUGUCAAGUCGGAUGUGAAAUCCCCGGGCUCAACCUGGGAACUGCAUUCGAAACUGGCAGGCUAGAGUCUUGUAGAGGGGGGUAGAAUUCCAUGUGUAGCGGUGAAAUGCGUAGAGAUGUGGAGGAAUACCGGUGGCGAAGGCGGCCCCCUGGACAAAGACUGACGCUCAGGUGCGAAAGCGUGGGGAGCAAACAGG
RNAcentral lists this ribosomal RNA (429 nucleotides) under Chloroflexota bacterium. Its description in RNAcentral is "Chloroflexi bacterium partial 16S ribosomal RNA". It matches the Rfam family "Bacterial small subunit ribosomal RNA", at positions 355 to 776 of the family's 1533-position model. The record is from RNAcentral. Lineage: Bacteria; Bacillati; Chloroflexota.